AGCGAACGCUGGCGGCAGGCCUAACACAUGCAAGUCGAGCGGCCGUAGCAAUACGGCAGCGGCAGACGGGAGAGUAACACGUGGGAACGCGCCCUUCGGUUCGGGAUAACUCAGGGAAACUUGAGCUAAUACCGGAUACGCCCUUACGGGGAAAGAUUUAUUGCCGAAGGAACGGCCCGCGUCCGAUUAGCUUGUUGGUGAGGUAACGGCUCACCAAGGCGACGAUCGGUAGCUGGUCUGAGAGGAUGACCAGCCUCACUGGGACUGAGACACGGCCCAGACUCCUACGGGAGGCAGCAGUGGGGAAUAUUGGACAAUGGGCGCAAGCCUGAUCCAGCCAUGCCGCGUGGGUGAUGAAGGCCCUAGGGUUGUAAAGCCCUUUCAGCGGGGAAGAUAAUGACGGUACCCGCAGAAGAAGCCCCGGCUAACUUCGUGCCAGCAGCCGCAGUAA
This 451-nucleotide ribosomal RNA is filed under the name uncultured bacterium. RNAcentral describes it as "partial 16S ribosomal RNA". It matches the Rfam family "Bacterial small subunit ribosomal RNA", at positions 29 to 523 of the family's 1533-position model. The record is from RNAcentral.